RNAcentral lists this ribosomal RNA (235 nucleotides) under uncultured Candidatus Saccharibacteria bacterium. RNAcentral describes it as "partial 16S ribosomal RNA". It matches the Rfam family "Bacterial small subunit ribosomal RNA", at positions 584 to 818 of the family's 1533-position model. The record is from RNAcentral. Lineage: Bacteria; Candidatus Saccharimonadota.
UAAGUAGGUAGUGAAAUGAUGGGGCUCAACCCCAUGUCCAUUAUCUAAACUGCUCAGCUAGAGUAUGAGAGAGGUGGCUGGAAUUUCUAGUGUAGGAGUGAAAUCCGUAGAUAUUAGAAGGAACACCGAUGGCGUAGGCAGGCCACUGGCUCAUUACUGACGCUCAGGCACGAAAGCGUGGGGAGCGACCGGGAUUAGAUACCCCGUUAGUCCACGCCGUAAACGAUGGAUGCUA